ACGGGAGGUAGCAGUGGGGAAUAUUGGGCAAUGGGCGCAAGCCUGACCCAGCGACGCCGCGUGAGUGAAGAAGUAUUUCGGUAUGUAAAGCUCUUUAAGCAGGGAAGAAAACGACGGUACCUGCAGAAUAAGCACCGGCUAAAUACGUGCCAGCAGCCGCGGUAAUACGUAUGGUGCAAGCGUUAUCCGGAUUUACUGGGUGUAAAGGGAGCGUAGGUGGUUUGGCAAGCCAGAAGUGAAAACCCGGGGCUCAACUCCGCGGAUUGCUUUUGGAACUGUUGGACUAGAGUGCAGGAGGGGUAAGUGGAAGUCCUAGUGUAGCGGUGAAAUGCGUAGAUAUUAGGAGGAACACCAGUGGCGAAGGCGGCUUACUGGACUGUAACUGACGUUGAGGCUCGAAAGCGGGGGGAGCAAACAGGAUUAGAUACCCUGGUA
RNAcentral lists this ribosomal RNA (435 nucleotides) under uncultured Lachnospiraceae bacterium. RNAcentral's name for it is "partial 16S ribosomal RNA". It matches the Rfam family "Bacterial small subunit ribosomal RNA", at positions 341 to 792 of the family's 1533-position model. Lineage: Bacteria; Bacillati; Bacillota; Clostridia; Lachnospirales; Lachnospiraceae. The record is from RNAcentral.